CCUGAGCAAAUUUUUAGCAGAGUCCGGCUUCAUGCCGGACAAUCAUCGUAGAGGUUGUUCGGGCUAAUCUGCUCACAGCAGAAAGACGCGCGACGCUGCAGAAGACUAACAUCCCCAUUGGCCAGCUUCCGAUCAAACUGGUUGACCCAGUUGGUCAACGCGCACCCUUUUGACAAAGGGAUGGAAGCCUCUACGUCGACGUCGCGGAUCCACAGGUUUUUCAGGUUCUCGACUUCGUACGUGAUCAGCAGACCAGAUUCCCCAUCUGGCCUUGUUUAGUUUACUGACUUGAGGACUACGCGAGCGGCUGGAAAAAAUAUGGAACCU
Molecule: long non-coding RNA, 327 nt
Filed under: Volvox carteri
Lineage: Eukaryota; Viridiplantae; Chlorophyta; Chlorophyceae; Chlamydomonadales; Volvocaceae
Description: long non-coding RNA (VCAR_LNC003643)
Source: RNAcentral